UACUCAUGGUUGUUUUGUGGUCAUCCUAGGUGGACCCUCAGUACUACUUGGAGGCUUGUGUGAAAGAGACGUGUUCCUGUCAGUUUGAGGGGAAGUUCCUGGGUUUCUGCACUGCUGUGGCAGCCUACGCAGAUGCAUGCAGUAGAAAGGGCACCUGUGUCAAGUGGAGGACACCAGACCUGUGUCCGGUUUACUGCGACUACUACAAUGAAAAGGAUGAGUGCACCUGGCAUUACCGAGCAUGUGGGCCCAGCCCAGAAUUACUGACCUGUGGGAAGCCAUUCAAAUUCUCUGAGAGCCUUGAAGGUUGCUACCCACAAUGUCCCCCGGAUAAGCCAUACUUUGAUGAGAACACAAGAAAAUGUAUGACGACGUGUGAAAAACCUACUACAGCAACACCUACUACAACAACGUCCACAACAACAAAAACGACCACAACAACACCGACUACAACAAGGACCACAACACCUACUACAGCAGAAACAACCCACACAAUAAUACCUUCCACAACAACAGAAACAACCCCAACAAUUUCAACUUCCACAACAACUGAAACGACCUCCACAAUUACAACUUCUACAACAACUGAAACGACCCCAACAAUAACACCUUCCACAACAACAGAAA
Scleropages formosus (Asian bonytongue) is the source of this 627-nucleotide long non-coding RNA. RefSeq lists it as uncharacterized. The record is from RefSeq and is a predicted model, not a curated record. The transcript has 3 exons. NCBI's taxonomy places the organism in Eukaryota, Metazoa, Chordata, Actinopteri, Osteoglossiformes, Osteoglossidae.